UCCAUCAUGGAGGAAAAUGGUUUAUACAC
Molecule: non-coding RNA, 29 nt
Filed under: Rattus norvegicus (Norway rat)
Lineage: Eukaryota; Metazoa; Chordata; Mammalia; Rodentia; Muridae
Source: RNAcentral